This 531-nucleotide ribosomal RNA is filed under the name uncultured bacterium. RNAcentral describes it as "bacterial SSU rRNA". It matches the Rfam family "Bacterial small subunit ribosomal RNA", at positions 977 to 1509 of the family's 1533-position model. The record is from RNAcentral.
GGCCUUGACAUACUAAGAACUUUCCAGAGAUGGAUUGGUGCCUUCGGGAACUUAGAUACAGGUGCUGCAUGGCUGUCGUCAGCUCGUGUCGUGAGAUGUUGGGUUAACGUCCGCAACGAGCGCAACCUUUUCCUAUUUGCCAGCGGGUAAUGCCGGGAACUUUAAGGAUACUGCCAGUGACAAACUGGAGGAAGGCGGGGACGACGUCAAGUCAUCAUGGCCCUUACGGCCAGGGCUACACACGUGCUACAAUGGUCGGUACAAAGGGUUGCUACCUCGCGAGAGGAUGCUAAUCUCAAAAAGCCGAUCGUAGUCCGGAUCGCAGUCUGCAACUCGACUGCGUGAAGUCGGAAUCGCUAGUAAUCGCGGAUCAGAAUGCCGCGGUGAAUACGUUCCCGGGCCUUGUACACACCGCCCGUCACACCAUGGGAGUUUGUUGCACCAGAAGUAGGUAGUCUAACCGCAAGGAGGACGCUUACCACGGUGUGGCCGAUGACUGGGGUGAAGUCGUAACAAGGUAAGCGUAGAUGA